CCAGCCCGCUCAGAAACUACAAAGGAAAUUGACGGGGGCCCGGCCGACAAGCGGAGGAACAUGUGGUUUAAUUCGAUGAUACGCGAGGAACCUUACCUGGGCUAGAACGCAUUCGGAAUCAGGCCGAAAGGCCUGCGCCAGCGAUGGCCGCUUGCGAGGUGCUGCAUGGUUGUCGUCAGCUCGUGCCGUGAGGUGUCGGGUUAAGUCCCAUAACGAGCGCAACCCCUACUGCUAGUUGCCAGCGGGUCAUGCCGGGGACUCUAGCGGAACUGCCAGCGUAAGCUGCGAGGAAGGUGGGGAUGACGUCAAAUCAGCACGGCCCUUACGUCCAGGGCUACAUACGUGUUACAAUGGCCGGUACAGAGGGCAGCCACCCCGCGAGGGGGCGCGAAUCCCGAAAGCCGGUCCCAGUUCGGAUCGGAGUCUGCAACCCGACUCCGUGAAGCUGGAUUCGCUAGUAAUCGCGCAUCAGCCACGGCGCGGUGAAUACGUUCCCGGGCCUU
Molecule: ribosomal RNA, 503 nt
Filed under: uncultured Rikenellaceae bacterium
Lineage: Bacteria; Pseudomonadati; Bacteroidota; Bacteroidia; Bacteroidales; Rikenellaceae
Description: bacterial SSU rRNA
Rfam family: Bacterial small subunit ribosomal RNA
Source: RNAcentral